Molecule: transfer RNA, 75 nt
Filed under: Nocardioides baekrokdamisoli
Lineage: Bacteria; Bacillati; Actinomycetota; Actinomycetes; Propionibacteriales; Nocardioidaceae
Description: tRNA-Arg
Source: RNAcentral
GUGUCUAUGUAUGCAAUCCGGCUCGCUGGCUGACUACGGAUCAGAAGGUCUGGGGUUCGAAUCCCUACAGCCGCG